AUUGAACGCUGGCGGCAGGCCUAACACAUGCAAGUCGAGCGGAUGAAGGGAGCUUGCUCCUGGAUUCAGCGGCGGACGGGUGAGUAAUGCCUAGGAAUCUGCCUGGUAGUGGGGGAUAACGUCCGGAAACGGGCGCUAAUACCGCAUACGUCCUGAGGGAGAAAGUGGGGGAUCUUCGGACCUCACGCUAUCAGAUGAGCCUAGGUCGGAUUAGCUAGUUGGUGGGGUAAAGGCCUACCAAGGCGACGAUCCGUAACUGGUCUGAGAGGAUGAUCAGUCACACUGGAACUGAGACACGGUCCAGACUCCGACGGGAGGAAGCAGUGGGGAAUAUUGGACAAUGGGCGAAAGCCUGAUCCAGGCAUGCCGCGUGUGUGAAGAAGGUCUUCGGAUUGUAAAGCACUUUAAGUUGGGAGGAAGGGCAGUAAGUUAAUACCUGGCUGUUUUGACGUUACCAACAGAAUAAGCACCGGCUAACUUCGUG
This 484-nucleotide ribosomal RNA is filed under the name uncultured bacterium. RNAcentral describes it as "partial 16S ribosomal RNA". It matches the Rfam family "Bacterial small subunit ribosomal RNA", at positions 30 to 507 of the family's 1533-position model. The record is from RNAcentral.